CAAUUCCUACAGACCGUGAGCAACUCGCUAGCAAACACACCUUUCAAAGGCAAGCCAGCCAAUCCACAGCCCAUGCCACAGCCCAACCACCUCCUGCCUCGGGCUCUCACACUCAGGACGAUUACCCACCUGCCCCCAUCACCCUAGGCCCAGGUGCCAGACAACAAGGGACAGCCCCCAGGCCGUAGAGCUCAGGGAAACUACUCAAACUGGCAGAUCCUAAACCUGCUUGCCUACUUCACUCAUCCUUCCUGCAGAAACCACAGUAAGAAACCACAGUAAAUGCUCUGGGCCCCACUUCCCUUCCCUCCCUCUGCCUUCCGACUGACCCUGAUGUUCCCUGUGUAGUCCCCCAGGAUGUAGCUGCCCUUGACUUGUGGGAACUCUCCUUGAAAACCACUAGUCUUGCAAUCAAAGUGAAAAGCAGCAGCCAAGCAGUUCCUGGAGGGAGCAGAUGGGCUUUGAGUUCCCCAGAAGCCCCAUUCUAAGAGAACUAUCAUUAUUUAACCUAUCUGAAAAAGCCUGCCAAUCCCCGUCCUCAACCAAGUUUUACUGCCAACGACUUUGUGUGACCUGAGGCUGGUCCCCUCCCCUCUCUGGGCCUCCCUUCCCAAAGUAAGGAGUGGAAAGGGUGUCCAGAGAAGGUGCUGGCCAGGAGCCCCCUGCCAAGGUCCAGAGCUGCACUUGCCGGACAAAGGUGUACUGAGCAUGAGCACCAGCUGCUGCCACCUAUAGGUCAGGAAAAAAGUGGCAGGCAGGAAGCUGCCUGUGUGAGGGACUGUCCCUGGCAGACCUUCAGGCCGCUGUCCACUUUGGUGGAGGGCUCCUAACUGAACUCUCUUCCCCAGCUGGUGCCACCGAUGAACAAAGUCUGGCUUUUGUACACCUUUGGGACCGAGAGACCACAGCUCCGAGGAGAAACCUAGCCUCCACACAUUCACUUCAGGACUAAUUGAAGGACUGCAAGCCAAUCACUCCUACAGAGAACUGGAGAGGGCCAUGUGCAUGUUUUUUCAAGGUCUGAAGGAAAAACAAGGAAAAAGCUUGUCAGCUGGGAAACCCGUCUAUAGUGCAGGAGUCCCCAUUUUCUACACUACUUCACGAGACUCGCCCACGUUGGUUCUGAAACUUUGCACUUUAAAACACCAGGCAAGCAGAUUUGUCACAGUUGUGGAAACCCAUAUGAAAACAAUGCAAUUAAAGGAGUCCAGUGAACCAAACCUUUGACCCUAGAGGUUCUCACAGGGAGCCUCUGCACCCAGCACUCCCAACCACGGGGAAGACCAGUGGAGGCUCACGCCCCUUCGAGGCACAAGAUUCACGCUGAAGAACUGUUGUCUAUGAACUUCCCAUGACACCCGAGUGCUGUGGAGCACGGCGUCUAUGUGCUGGCUGCAGCGAGCCCACCCAAGGGGCAGUCACCUGUGAGUGCUCCCACCUCAAACCCUUGCCUUGGUGGGGGGGUCUAACUGCCAUCCCCCAGGGAUGUGCCCUGAGCAGGACCUGGAAGGAGUGAUGCUCUGACACCGCUGAGCCUGGAGAGGAUCUGAAGCUUUGCCACCAACCGGGAAGGAAGUGUGGGUGAGACCGCUGAGUGAUGAGAGGCCACGUGGAGAGGCCAUGGAGGACGCGAGGCCAGCUUGGACACAGAAAGCAGCCCCAGGACAUCCUAUGUGAGACCAGCAGACACACACCCAGCCGAGUUCUAGCCAACCCCCAGAACUGCGAGAAAUGAGGCUGCAGGGAUUGAAAUCUCCCUUUCUGGACUAACUCUUCAAGGCAAGGAAGAGCUCAGUAGUCUGGGCCAAGUUUUUUAUGUGGUGUCAAGAGCCUCCUACUUACUUCAUCAUCUUCAUCUUCAUCAUCGUCAGACUCAAGAACACCAUCCAGUAGCUCUUCUAAAUAAAGAAAAAAUAAACGAAUGAAUAACUGCAAACACAGCAGGGAGCUUGGCCGCGAGAACCCUUUCAGCUGCUACAGAGAAGAGAAUGAGGAGGUACCAGAACAAUCAGGCAGGUUCCUGUGUGGGCUGUGCCCACACAGCCACAGACUCAGAUCAUCCCAGGCAACUUAAAUCUCUCUCCCCCUUUGUACCAGUACGCAUGGGCAGUGGCAUGAGAAAGGUUAAAAGCUAGCAUACAAAUCUGAGAAGAAUUUAGAAGAAAGAAAGUCAACAAGUACUGCUAGGCACCAUGCUGGAUACUGUGCCUUGUGUUGUUUAUUUACUCCUUACAA
Molecule: long non-coding RNA, 2235 nt
Organism: Mustela erminea (ermine)
Lineage: Eukaryota; Metazoa; Chordata; Mammalia; Carnivora; Mustelidae
Exons: 3
Source: RefSeq, a predicted model, not a curated record